GAGCAUUUUAAUUCAUUAUGCACAAAAGAGGAAAAAGAGCAAACAAUAUGCAAAUAUAUCAAGACCUUGACAUUAAACCGUGCAAAUGACUUCUUGCAAUAGAAACGAUGAAAUAGAACCUGCCCAGUGGCCAUGACUGCCUGAUAAAAUCUCAGCAAAAUGCCGCUUUCUUGGAUGAGAUCACAGCCAUAGAUUCUAAGGGCGGUUUCAGUAGCUUCAUCAAUGCCAUCUUUUCGGGAAGGUGAGUUUGUUAGUUGCUCAUCCGUGAGGUAAAAUGUAUCAAUUGCUGUGUAGAUCAUCUUUCUAUGCUCUCUUAAGCCUUAA
Lathyrus oleraceus (garden pea) is the source of this 324-nucleotide long non-coding RNA. RefSeq lists it as uncharacterized. Lineage: Eukaryota; Viridiplantae; Streptophyta; Magnoliopsida; Fabales; Fabaceae. The transcript is spliced from 2 exons. The record is from RefSeq and is a predicted model, not a curated record.